RNAcentral lists this ribosomal RNA (774 nucleotides) under Desmodora sp. 2 TJP-2019. RNAcentral's name for it is "SSU rRNA". It matches the Rfam family "Eukaryotic small subunit ribosomal RNA", at positions 91 to 874 of the family's 1831-position model. Lineage: Eukaryota; Metazoa; Nematoda; Chromadorea; Desmodorida; Desmodoridae. The record is from RNAcentral.
GAUGGCUCAUUACAACAGCCGUUGUUUCUUGGAUCUUGAUUUACUUGGAUAACUGUGGUAAUUCUAGAGCUAAUACAUGCAUCAAAGCUCCAACCGCUUGGAAGGAGUGUAUUUAUUAGACCAAGACCAAUUGGGCUCUGCCCAUUAUCUGGUGACUCUGAAUAACUUUGCUGAUCACAUGGUCCUGAACCAGUGACAUAUCUUUCAAGUGUCUGCCCUAUCAACUUUCGAUGGUAGUUUAUGUGCCUACCAUGGUUGUAACGGGUAACGGAGAAUAAGGGUUCGACUCCGGAGAGGGAGCCUGAGAAAUGGCUACCACAUCCAAGGAAGGCAGCAGGCGCGCAAAUUACCCAAUCUCAGUUCGAGGAGGUAGUGACGAAAAAUAACGAGAUGGUUCUCUAUGAGGCCCAUCAUCGGAAUGGAUACAAUCUAAACCCUAUAGUGAGGAUCUAUUGGAGGGCAAGUCUGGUGCCAGCAGCCGCGGUAAUUCCAGCUCCAAUAGUGUAUAUCAAUUUUGCUGCUGUUUAAACGCUCGUAGUUGGAUCUUUCCAAGGAUGGAGUCUGUCCUAUUGGACAUGUACUCUUGUCUGAGGAUGAUUAGCUGGUUUUCUCAUGGUGCUCUUCACUGAGUGUCUUGGGUGACUGGUGUUUUUACUUUGAAAAAAUUAGAGUGCUCAAUACAGGCGUUACUGCCCGAAUAGUGGUGCAUGGAAUAAUGGAAUAGGAUCUCGGUUCUAUUUUGUUGGUUUUAGGAGUGCGGGAUAAUGAUUAAUG